Small nucleolar RNA from Siniperca chuatsi (mandarin fish), 169 nucleotides. RefSeq annotates it as small nucleolar RNA SNORD97. The transcript has a single exon. Lineage: Eukaryota; Metazoa; Chordata; Actinopteri; Centrarchiformes; Sinipercidae. The record is from RefSeq and is a predicted model, not a curated record.
AUGCCCAGUGAUUAUAAAAAGACGCGUUAUUCUGAGGAACACAACCUGCUGCCAGUCUUUCUUCUACCUUUUACUCUGUCUUUGAGCUCUAUCUUUCCUAUCCUUCCUCCACUCUUUUCUUCAAACUGGUAGCUGGUCCGCUGACUGCGAUUAUGAGAUAUGAGGGCAU